Molecule: ribosomal RNA, 471 nt
Filed under: uncultured bacterium
Lineage: Bacteria
Description: bacterial SSU rRNA
Rfam family: Bacterial small subunit ribosomal RNA
Source: RNAcentral
ACAUGCAAGUCGAACGAAUGGAUGUCUAGCUUGCUAGACUGAAGUUAGUGGCGAACGGGUGAGUAAUACAUAGGCAAUCUGCCCUGAAGUGUGGGAUAGCUAUUGGAAACGAUAAUUAAUACCGCAUAGGUAGUAAGAAGGCAUCUUCCUACUAUUAAAGAUGCGUCUGCAUCGCUGCAGGAUGAGCUUAUGGUGUAUUAGCUAGUUGGUGAGAUAAAAGCCCACCAAGGCUAUGAUACAUAGCUGGUCUGAGAGGAUGAACAGCCACAUUGGGACUGAGACACGGCCCAGACUCCUACGGGAGGCAGCAGUAAGGAAUUUUCGGCAAUGGGGGCAACCCUGACCGAGCAACGCCGCGUGAGUGAUGAAGGUCUUCGGAUCGUAAAACUCUGUUGUAAAGGAAGAAUGUCAUAUAUAGGAAAUGAUAUAUGAGUGACGGUACUUUACUAGAAAGUCACGGCUUACUACGUG